CGGUGAGUAUGUGGUUAAUUCGACGCAACGCGAAGACCUACAGGUCUUGACAUCGAUUGCAAGGUGUAGAGAUACACCCUCUCUUCGAGACAAGAAGACAGGUGGUGCAUGGCUGUCGUCAGCUCGUGUCGUGAGAUGUUGGGUUAAGUCCCGCAACGAGCGCAACCCUAUCUAUGUUACCAUCAUUAAGUUGGGGACUCAUAGGAGACUGCCAGGGACAACCUGGAGGAAGGCGGGGAUGACGUCAAGUCAUCAUGCCCCUUAUGUCCUGGGCUACACACGUACUACAAUGGCCGGCAACAGAGGGAAGCGAAGCCGCGAGGCGGAGCGAACCCCAAAAACCCGGUCCCAGUUCGGAUCGCAGGCUGCAACCCGCCUGCGUGAAGUCGGAAUCGCUAGUAAUCGCAGGUCAGCAUACUGCGGUGAAUACGUUCCCGGGCCUUGUACACACCGCCCGUCACACCACGAAAGUUGGAAACACCCGAAGCCGGUGGGGUAACCGCAAGGAGCUAGCCGUCUAAGGUGGGGCCGAUGAUUGGGGUG
RNAcentral lists this ribosomal RNA (543 nucleotides) under uncultured rumen bacterium. RNAcentral's name for it is "bacterial SSU rRNA". It matches the Rfam family "Bacterial small subunit ribosomal RNA", at positions 930 to 1482 of the family's 1533-position model. The record is from RNAcentral.